GCCUGGGUGGCUCAGUCGGUUAAGCGUCUGACUUCAGCUCAGGUCAUGAUCUCACGCUCGUGGGUUCAAGCCCCACGUCGAGCU
RNAcentral lists this transfer RNA (84 nucleotides) under Felis catus (domestic cat). It matches the Rfam family "tRNA". Rfam says of the family: Transfer RNA (tRNA) molecules are approximately 80 nucleotides in length. Lineage: Eukaryota; Metazoa; Chordata; Mammalia; Carnivora; Felidae. RNAcentral also lists the same sequence under 1 other name. The record is from Rfam by way of RNAcentral.